This 925-nucleotide long non-coding RNA is filed under the name Nicotiana tabacum (common tobacco). RNAcentral describes it as "long non-coding RNA (NTAB_LNC001741)". The record is from RNAcentral. Lineage: Eukaryota; Viridiplantae; Streptophyta; Magnoliopsida; Solanales; Solanaceae.
AGUCUUCUCCUUUCCACUUAUAAAUAAUCAGGGGAUCCCACGCCAUAUUUGCUGUCAAAAAACUUGUGUCCAAAUUUCUACGUAACCUUAAGCUGACCCCAUCUCCACCUUCAAUCUGGUAAGCUUUCUUUUUCUCAGAAAGCCUGGGUUUUGAUUUUUUGUUUUUUUUAAAUGAUUCGAUCUUUCUUUUAAUAAUUUUGCAUGUGUUUAUGUUUUGUUUCCAGGUUCUUGUUCAGAGCAAUUUAUUGUUAGAUCUUUGUUUGGCUGUUCCAGAAUCGAGAAUGAGUCAUAUCCUUACGAUAUGUUCCUUUUCUCUGAUUUAAGAUCACGCUAAUAUCGAUCCAAUUCUUUGUUUUGAUGAACAAGAUUCUCUUAUCUUCUACUCCCUCUCCCUCUGUUCCAGUUUAUGUGAACCUAUUUCCUUUUUGGUCCGUUCCAAAAAGAAUGAACCCUUUCUAAAUUUGGUAACAAUUUAGCUUAAAGUUGCGUAACUUUAAGCUUUUAUAACCACACAAAUACUCCAUUUGGACUUGUUUAGAAUCACAAGUUCCAAACGGAGGGAGUAUUCGAUUGCCGAGAAAUUGAGAAAAAAUAUCCAAAAUUAAAGAUUUUUUAUUUAAUUUUGUUGGGGUAAUCUAUUAAAUUGGGAAUCCCCUUUCGAGAUAUAUCCUCAAUUGGCUCGGUAUCCAAAGAAUUGGUUUAGUUAGGACCUAAAGAUUGAAUUUUUGUGGCUCAAAGAAUGGCAUUUUUGUUUCUGAUUGUUGUCUGUUUUUGACUUAACUCAAGCUAACGCGGAAAUCAGAGAGAUAGAGAUCGUGAAAGGGCACAAGCCAGGGCAGGUAGCAAACCCAAACAGCCCAAAGGUGAUGGAUUGACCCCUGAACAAAGACGAGAAAGGUUCUUUCUUUCCUCCUAAACAACCCUC